CCCAAACACUGAACAGCAAGAGAGCAGGUCUAAGAGAUGGGAACCUGCUUGCACACUGUAAAGGAAUCCUAUUUUAGGAUUAAUAGGCACUUGCAUCAUUUUGGUCCUACGUGCUGUUUUAAGGAGCAUCUACAUCAUCAGCAAAUAUUUUUAUUGUGCUGACAGUGCACACAAAGUGAAAUGUGAAGGACUGUCUCUUCCAGGUGCAGCUCCAUUCAAACGGGAAACAAAACACUUAAACAAAGGAGGCUGUCCGCUGAGAAUUGCCCCUGCCCAAGGCAAGAGAAGAACAAGGAUGGAAUUGAUUGCAUUUCGUUGCAUCGUUUUUUAAUCCCAGCGAAGUUUUUGGGGGUUUGGUCAUGGGAGUUUUUUUAGCUACUCGGGAUUUGAUGCUACCCGGAACCAUCCCCAUUGUACUGUGUGAUGACCAAGGGAGCUGCCCCAGGGCUGUGACCCUGUUGAAGCCGAUAGCGACAACAUUCCGAGCUCCUUCCAUCACUUCUGCAGGCAGACCGGGAUGGCAGGCAGGCUCAAACGGCGCUAGAAAUCAUAUCUGUGUCAGAACUCGUAAACAGAUCACCCAAAAACCUGGAGGGACGUGCGCGGCUGCUCCCAAAAGCCCGAGGCUUGCCGCUAGAUGGCAAACUUUAAUUUUCAAAUCCUGGAGCUGCCGCCGCUCGUGCCUGGGGCUGUGUGCGGCCAGGGAUGGGG
Molecule: long non-coding RNA, 711 nt
Organism: Poecile atricapillus (Black-capped chickadee)
Lineage: Eukaryota; Metazoa; Chordata; Aves; Passeriformes; Paridae
Exons: 3
Source: RefSeq, a predicted model, not a curated record